AGCCUUUUGUAGUUCAUAAGUGUGAUGAUUGGGUUUUCAGACUCGUGUAUAAGAUGUGCCUCCCUCAUUCCUUGUUACAACAUCAGCACAUUACACAUAUGAAU
Molecule: small nucleolar RNA, 104 nt
Organism: Papio anubis (olive baboon)
Lineage: Eukaryota; Metazoa; Chordata; Mammalia; Primates; Cercopithecidae
Source: Ensembl